AGCAUAUCGGAAUAARMGGAGGAAAAGAAACUAACAAGGAUUCCCCUAGUAACGGCGAGUGAAGCGGGAAGAG
This 73-nucleotide ribosomal RNA is filed under the name Ceratobasidium theobromae. RNAcentral describes it as "partial 28S ribosomal RNA". It matches the Rfam family "Eukaryotic large subunit ribosomal RNA", at positions 37 to 107 of the family's 3401-position model. Lineage: Eukaryota; Fungi; Basidiomycota; Agaricomycetes; Cantharellales; Ceratobasidiaceae. The record is from RNAcentral.